CGGGUGAGUAACGCGUGAGGAACCUGCCUCAAAGAGGGGGACAACAGUUGGAAACGACUGCUAAUACCGCAUAAGCCCACGGCUCGGCAUCGAGCAGAGGGAAAAGGAGCAAUCCGCUUUGAGAUGGCCUCACGUCCGAUUAGCUAGUUGGUGAGGUAAUGGCCCACCAAGGCGACGAUCGGUAGCCGGACUGAGAGGUUGAACGGCCACAUUGGGACUGAGACACGGCCCAG
This 233-nucleotide ribosomal RNA is filed under the name uncultured bacterium. Its description in RNAcentral is "partial 16S ribosomal RNA". It matches the Rfam family "Bacterial small subunit ribosomal RNA", at positions 103 to 334 of the family's 1533-position model. The record is from RNAcentral.